Molecule: long non-coding RNA, 1029 nt
Filed under: Oryctolagus cuniculus (rabbit)
Lineage: Eukaryota; Metazoa; Chordata; Mammalia; Lagomorpha; Leporidae
Description: lncRNA (ENSOCUG00000034722.1)
Source: RNAcentral
AUGAAUGAACCACUGGAAGAGUUUGCUAAGGGAUCCACUGAAUUGACGCCUCGUCUGGAAGCAAUACAUCCUUUUUGGACAACAUCAGUGGGAAUGAAUGAAGUACAAACAUGCAGACAAGUUACAGGCAGAAUCAAGUUAAAACCAAUACCAAAACAUCUCAAGAGGCAUUUCCUUCCUCACUGCAAUACUAAUCAAUAUAAAAGCACAGAACUUGAGUUAAAAAAUGUCAAUUCUUCUUCAACAGAUAAUGACAUUAAAACAACAAACAAGGAAGAACAAGAAUGGCUUGAUGGAAGUAAAAAUAAGCAAUUUGAAGAAAAAGAGCAGCGUUGCCAAAGUAAGGAAAUGGAAGUGUUAAGAAACUUGCAUGAAAGUGCUGCUCCUCCUGAUGACAGUGAUGGUUGUGGACUGAAUCAGCAGAGAAAGAGUGGGGACCUUGACAACCAGCAAUCUGCCACUAAGAAGAAUGAAGAAUAUUAUUUCUGCCCUGCCUUGCAUAUAAAGGAAACAAAAAAUGAAAAUGAAAAAGUGACUUCCAUGGAGUAUGGGAUUAGACCAGUGAUAGAGAAUGGCUUUUCACUCACUAGAAGUCUACUGCAAGUGAUUUAUGACAACAAUCUGAGUGAGCUCGAUCGUCUUAAAAGGGAACAGUUAAGAAGAAAAGAAAAGCAAUAUCAUAAAGAAGUAGUAGUGAAACAACUUGAAGUGACACAUAGAACACUAGAAUUGGAUGCGAGGACUUCAAAAAACAAUUUGACCCAGUUCCAAGAAUCAGAAGAUGAACAAAAGGAGUUGGUACAAAACACUGAGAAAAUUCAAGAUCAUCUGGAAAAGCAUGAUCAGGAAAAUCAUGAGUUGAAAGAUACAAUACUAAAGCAAGCAAGGGAAAUUAAAAAUCUUCAGGAAAUCCUUUUCAGACUAAGUUCAUUCCAGGUAUCAGAAAAUCUACACCAAGGAGUGGUAGAAAAUGUAAAGAAGACACAAGAUUAUCUAGAACACUACAAUUCAAGGUACUAUGCAAACUAG